RNAcentral lists this ribosomal RNA (535 nucleotides) under uncultured bacterium. RNAcentral's name for it is "bacterial SSU rRNA". It matches the Rfam family "Bacterial small subunit ribosomal RNA", at positions 775 to 1308 of the family's 1533-position model. The record is from RNAcentral.
AGAAAAUAGAUACCCGGGUAGUCCACGCCCUAAACGAUGCAUAUUUGGUGUGGGCAGUUCAUUCUGUCCGUGCCGGAGCUAAACGCGUUAAAUAUGCCGCCUGGGGAGUACAGUCGCAAGGCUGAAACUCAAAGGAAUUGACGGGGGCCCGCACAAGCGGUGGAGCAUGUGGUUCAAUUCGACGCAACGCGAAGAACCUUACCUGGGCUCGAACGGCUGAUCAACGGAGGUGGAAACAUCUUUACCCCGCAAGGGGGUUCAGUCGAGGUGCUGCAUGGCUGUCGUCAGCUCGUGUCGUGAGAUGUUGGGUUAAGUCCCGCAACGAGCGCAACCCUUGUCCUGUGUUGCCAUCAUUCAGUUGGGAACUCGCAGGAGACCGCCAGGGAUAACCUGGAGGAAGGUGGGGAUGACGUCAAGUCCUCAUGGCCUUUAUGUCCAGGGCUACACACGUGCUACAAUGGACGGUACAAAGCGCAGCAAACCCGCGAGGGGAGCCAAUCGCAAAAAACCGUUCUCAGUUCGGAUUGCAGGCUGC